Molecule: ribosomal RNA, 248 nt
Filed under: uncultured bacterium
Lineage: Bacteria
Description: partial 16S ribosomal RNA
Rfam family: Bacterial small subunit ribosomal RNA
Source: RNAcentral
AGUGUCCUAGCGGCGAACGGGUGAGUAACACGUGGGCAACCUGCCCCUAGCACUGGGAUAACUCCGGGAAACCGGGGCUAAUACCGGAUACGACUUCAGAGGGCAUCCUCCGAAGUGGAAAAGGUUUACUGGCUAGGGAUGGGCCCGCGGCCUAUCAGCUUGUUGGUGGGGUAACGGCCCACCAAGGCGACGACGGGUAGCCGGCCUGAGAGGGCGACCGGCCACACUGGGACUGAGACACGGCCCAG